AAUUUGCAAUUUUUUUUUUGUUGCAACCGCUUCGGGGAUUGUUCCGGAUUUUCUCGGUCAAUCAGCAUCGAAUUGGACAUCGUUUUUCAACGACGGUGAUUACUGUCCGACCUUUCGUGAAAAAUAGGACCUUCUGUUCUAACAGUAAGUGUCUACACUGGCGCACCGGAAGUUUUACAAAAAUCCGUGUGGACUCUCGGCUACGGCAGCUUGAAUUCCCAGACACAGCGUUCGAAUUCAUGGAAACAAGGAUAGAUUUCAAUCGAGGUUAUGGUCUUUUCGCUUUGCCGCAUCUCCGAAAGAAGGGUGUGGAAAGUGCGGAACGAUUUAAUCUGCUUCUGGCAAAAAUUUCGGAUGGCCAUGGCGUUGACACUGAGGGCGGUGACGGCCAUUUGCCUUGCUGUCGAACAUCUAUGCCAUUUCGUCGGGUCCGGGCAGUCGUUUUUUGGGCAUUAUCGCACUGGAUUUUGGAUUGUCAAAAUAAGUGAGGAAUAUGAAAAGUGAUUGAGCUUCCGUGAAAAUAAGUGAUAUUAAGUUUCCAAAAAAUAUUUUUGUGAAAAUGUUUGUAUUUUUGUGAUUAUGUGAAAAAUAUAUAAAAAUUAUCUCUGAA
Molecule: long non-coding RNA, 610 nt
Organism: Uranotaenia lowii
Lineage: Eukaryota; Metazoa; Arthropoda; Insecta; Diptera; Culicidae
Exons: 2
Source: RefSeq, a predicted model, not a curated record